This 72-nucleotide transfer RNA is filed under the name Camelus bactrianus (Bactrian camel). It matches the Rfam family "tRNA". From Rfam's summary of the family: Transfer RNA (tRNA) molecules are approximately 80 nucleotides in length. Their secondary structure includes four short double-helical elements and three loops (D, anti-codon, and T loops). Lineage: Eukaryota; Metazoa; Chordata; Mammalia; Artiodactyla; Camelidae. The record is from Rfam by way of RNAcentral. RNAcentral also lists the same sequence under 2 other names.
GCGUGUAUAGCUUAGUGGUAGAGCACCUGCUUAGCAUGCACAAGGUCCUGGUUUCAAUCCCCAGUACCUCCA